CUUGACGGAACCGAGCCACAGCGGCUCGCGCCCGUCCGGACCCUCCGGCCGCGUCUGCCCGUAGGUGGCGAGGAGCGCCUGGGCCUC
RNAcentral lists this antisense RNA (87 nucleotides) under Streptomyces alboflavus. RNAcentral describes it as "ASpks TB sRNA". It matches the Rfam family "ASpks TB sRNA". Lineage: Bacteria; Bacillati; Actinomycetota; Actinomycetes; Kitasatosporales; Streptomycetaceae. The record is from Rfam by way of RNAcentral.